Molecule: ribosomal RNA, 422 nt
Filed under: uncultured cyanobacterium
Lineage: Bacteria; Bacillati; Cyanobacteriota
Description: bacterial SSU rRNA
Rfam family: Bacterial small subunit ribosomal RNA
Source: RNAcentral
GGAAUUUUCCGCAAUGGGCGAAAGCCUGACGGAGCAACGCCGCGUGAGGGAUGAAGGCCUCUGGGCUGUAAACCUCUUUUAUCAAGGAAGAAGAUCUGACGGUACUUGAUGAAUAAGCCACGGCUAAUUCCGUGCCAGCAGCCGCGGUAAUACGGGAGUGGCAAGCGUUAUCCGGAAUUAUUGGGCGUAAAGCGUCCGCAGGCGGUCUGUCAAGUCUGCUGUUAAAGCGUGGAGCUUAACUCCAUUUCGGCAGUGGAAACUGACAGACUAGAGUGUGGUAGGGGCAGAGGGAAUUCCCGGUGUAGCGGUGAAAUGCGUAGAUAUCGGGAAGAACACCAGUGGCGAAGGCGCUCUGCUGGGCCAUAACUGACGCUCAUGGACGAAAGCCAGGGGAGCGAAAGGGAUUAGAUACCCCUGUAGUC